CCCCUCUCGGACUCGCAUCUGGAGAGUUUCCAGUACUCUACCAGUCUUGGCUAUGGGAGGGAGAAUCAAGCAGAGGCAUAUCCAUUGUAUUCCUAGCUUGGCCAGUGGCUAGUGAGUGGAAGGAAAUCUGCUGCAAGU
This is a small nucleolar RNA of Tachyglossus aculeatus (Australian echidna), 138 nucleotides long. The record is from RefSeq and is a predicted model, not a curated record. NCBI's taxonomy places the organism in Eukaryota, Metazoa, Chordata, Mammalia, Monotremata, Tachyglossidae.